Molecule: long non-coding RNA, 1078 nt
Organism: Xyrauchen texanus (razorback sucker)
Lineage: Eukaryota; Metazoa; Chordata; Actinopteri; Cypriniformes; Catostomidae
Exons: 3
Source: RefSeq, a predicted model, not a curated record
UGCACAUAGGACUGUUGUGAUUGCACCCAAAUAGAAAUCAUGUCAGUGUGCUAACUGGCAUUGUCAGAUGUGAUUGCACUGUAAUUUAAUGUGAUUAAUGGAGCUUAGCCUAAUGUCUAUUCAUUAUUUCCUAUAAAUGGUGACAAAUUGUGCAUCUACAAACUUUGUUUGUCUCACUGCCAGCCUGACCUUGAGCUCUGUCAUCUCUGUCUCAGCAGCUUCAGGGACAUGUAUCCCUGCUCCUCAGAUCUUGUUCCCCAUCCACCCGACACACUCUGCACUUGAAGAUCAAUGGAGCCAAGGGCACAUGUAAGGUGAUCCAGGGCUGAGGAGAGCAGAGUUGGUUUUAUUUGUUCUGUGGUACAGCUCUGUUUGAUGUUGCCCUCUCCCGUUUCGUUCAUCCGGAAAACCUGCUGUUUGCCGUGCAUCCAAACUACAGUAUUUUGGUGUACAUCCAAAUUUGGCAGAUGACAACAUGGACAGGGUGAUAUCUGUGAAAACCAUGAUCAAAACUUCACAAGGGAGUGUGACGAGGAGGAGGGCAUGGCCGGGCCGUGAGGCUGCACGGCCAGCACUGAAUCAGCUGAUCAGCGGGAGAGCGAGAUAAAGGGAAGCCGGAGACGCCAGUUCCAGAGAGAGAUGCACGCAGCCGCUGUGUUUGUUUGUUUUAAGUUAAGUUUGAUAUUAAAACUUUGUUUACAAAGCCGGGAGGGGGGAGGGCUGCGGUCAUCUACUUGGGGACGGAGGGGUCGCUGCCAGCCGCCAAUAGCCGGAAGAACCGUUGCUGUCUGUCAAAGAAGGGGAGGAGCAGUUCCGUCCACCAGGGAAGGAGCGAGCUGGUGUCCACCAGAGGGCAGAGGAGCGAUUGAGGACCGGACGACAGCAUGUCCGGAAGCCGGCGAGCAAGUUCUUCUCUCUCCUCUUUCUGUGUAAUUGUUUGUUUUAAGUUAAGUUUGGCAUUAAAACUUUAUUUACUGUUCAGCCGGUUCCCGCCUCCUCCUUGCCCAUCCUUGAACUAUUACAGGGAGAAAUUGUGAAAAAUAUUUGUGCUCAGUGAUGUCAUACAAUGGCAGUUUAU